RNAcentral lists this long non-coding RNA (240 nucleotides) under Nicotiana benthamiana. RNAcentral's name for it is "long non-coding RNA (NBEN_LNC001320)". The record is from RNAcentral. Lineage: Eukaryota; Viridiplantae; Streptophyta; Magnoliopsida; Solanales; Solanaceae.
UAUACUGGAAGACGGAUGGAGUGUAGGAUGUGUUUCUUUUCUUUUUAUAAGACUGGAAGAUGGAUGGAGUUCCAUUUUUAAUCACCAAGCUUUAGUUUUGUACAGGUGUUUAUAGGCUGAUUUCAGGAUUAAUUUCCUUUGGCGAUCGUCAUUUUACUUUCAUUUGAAAAUUUUGUUUUCUUCUCCCUCCAGAACACUUAUGUGAUCCUUUUCUUCUCAUAGCUUACAGAAAUAAUAAUA